UUAACUAAUCAUGGAACUAACUUUCCUAUAAAACUAAACCAUUAAAUAUAACUAAAUUAUUUUAAGAAAACUAACCAGGAGCAGAAAAACUAUUGUUGCUUAUGGAUUAAAAGGGAGCAAACAUGUUCUUGCUAAACUUUGAACAAACAAAAGAUAACAAACUAAUGGACAAAAAUAAAGAAAACCUGCUCGAACAGAAAAGAAGCAGCAGCGCUGGAACCAUGCCGGCAACUCGAACGAAACCGACCUCACUCAAACUCCAUCUUGGAAAAGCGAAAAUCCGAAACAAGGAAGAUGAAACAGAACUUUUUAUGUGCUCUAUUUUGUAGUUGUCUUGCGAAUUAGUUUUAGAUGUUAGAAUAGUGACAAACUGAUUUUUGACGGAGCUUAGGACGAAAAGAAGAUGGGAGAUUUUGCUCUCUCUGUUUUCAACAUCUCUUUCUCAUGUGCCUUCUAUUUCGUCUUCUCACUCUAUGUGUGUGCGUGUGUGUGUAUGGCUGCUGGUUCGAUAUGGUAGAGGCAUAGAUGGGGUUGUUUGGUGUGAGGUGAGAGGUUUUCCUAAAGGUCCAUGGCUGUUGUAGCUGUGAUAGAUGAAGAAAAAGAAGCAGUGGCGAUGGGUGGUUGUUGCGGUGGUGUUGCGUAUAGAACUGGUGAACGUUGGUUGUUGCUGAAGGUUUAGGGAUGAAGAAACCGAGGUUCAAGCCAUUGGAAUGUGAAGGAGAGGAGGAGGGUCGUAUGGGGUGGGGUUCGAAAUUGUUCUCUGCUGCUUCUUUAGAUGCUUAUUUUGUAUAUGUUCGUCCAAAUCUAGAAGAAGAACGGCGGAUAGCUAUACGGGUAUAGGUCUUAGAGUCUAGGUAUUUUUUAGGCUAAUUUUGGUUAUAUAGAGAGGGUUUUUAGGUUAAGGGGUAUGAGUUUGGUAUUAUUAGGNNNNNNNNNNNNNNNNNNNNNNNNNUGAAUUUAUGAAAUAUACGUAAACUAAAGUAUUUUUGUCAUUUUUAUUUUUUGUGACGAAAUAAAGUAAAAGAGUCAAAAAUUAGUUGAAAUAGUGAUAUUAGGCCUAAACUAAAUAUUUACAUGCUAAAAUAUAAAAAAUCUUGGGGAGGGUCAAAAAUCACUUGUCUACAGCUGCCCCUUUUUGACUGGGAACAUGAAGAAUUUUCAGAUAAAGAACGACUAGAAAGGUUUUUUAACCCGACCCCUAUUUAGAGAGACUAAAACUAAGAGAAAAGGGGAAUAUGACCGAGCUCUGGUAUCUGAGCUGCCUAUAUAUCCUUGGCUAUAAAGGAAUCAGGCCACGUGUAGUUUAGAAGUGAGUGAGAUGAUGGAGUAUACCGAGGUGGAGAGCCGGUCGAGGUGUCGUUCCAUAGUCCUAUUAUUACUCAAAAAUCAAAUAAUGAAAAAUACUAGCUAAGCCUGUCAACUAUGAGUUACAAGAUUCCUAUCUAUAAGUCUUCUGAAGCUUGAUCUUGAGUCUUGAAUGACUCUUCAUGCAGACUCUAGAUUUGAACCUUGGUAUUUUUUAGCUGCAGGUGCUAGUUCAUUCUUCUUCAGCUUUUCGGAUCAAGAUCGGACAUGCAGUGCUUGUGACCUCAGCCAUGUCUUGAGCAUCUCACAUCUUUCAUCAAACUUCUGAAUUUGGAUACACUUCUUUUUUUUCUUUUUCCCCUCUUUUUUAUAUUCUAGAUUGAGGCUACUUUUGUUGGUCAUCUCAGACUGUUGACCCGCAUUCUUGUCGCGAGCUUCUUUUGUUGCUGACUUGAAUUACAUUCUGAAGUGAAUUCCCUUGUUUUCCAGGUGGGUGCCUGAUUUCUAAAACUUGAACUGUCUUCCUUCGAAACUUGAACUGCAUUCCCUUGUUCUCCAGGUCGAUUGAUGAAACUCGAAUUGUUUUCCUUGAAACUUGAGUUGUUUUCCCUUGUUCUCCAGGUGGGCACCUGACUGCUGAAACUCGAAUUGCUUUUCCCUGAAACUUGAGCUUCUUUCCCUUGUUCUCCAGGUGGGUGCCUGAUUGUUGAACUUGAACUGUCCUCCUUUGAAACUUGAGCUGUUUUCCCUUGUUCUCCAGGUGUGUGCCUGAUUGCUGAACUUGAACCGCUUUUCCCUGAAACAUAAGCUGCUUUCCCUUGUUCUCCAGGUGGAUGCCUGAUUGCUGAACUUGAACUGUCUUCCUUUGAAACUUGAGCUGUUUUCCCUUAUUCUUCAGGUGGGCGCUUGAUUUCUGAACUUGAACCGCUUUCCUUUGAAACUACUUUCCCUUGAAACUUGAACGGUCUCCCCUUGUUCUCCAGGUGGGCGCCUGACUGCUGAACUUGAACUGCUUUCCUUUGAAACUGUUUUCCCUUGAAACUUGAACUGCUUUCCGUUGAAACUGCUUUCCCUUGAAACUUGAACUUCCUUACCUUGUUCUCCAAGUGGGCGCCUGAUUGCUGAAACUCGAUAUACUUUUCCCUGAAACUUGAACUGCCUUCCUUUGUUCUCCAAGUGGGCGCCUGAUUGUUAAGUUUGAACGUUCUUCCUUCGAAACUUGAGUUGCUUUCCCUUGUUCUCCAGGUGGGCGCCUGAUUGCUGAACUCGACCUGCUUUCCCUUGAUACUUGAAACUUUUUUCCCUUAUUCUCCAGGUGGGCACCUGAUUAUUGAACUUCAACUGUCUUCCUUGGAAACUUGAGCUGUUUUCCUUUGUUCUCCAGGUGGGCACCUGAUUGCUGAACUUGAACUGUCUUCCUUCGAAACUUAAGUUAUUUUCCCUUGUUCUCCAGGUGGGCGUCUGACUGCUGAAACUCGAAAUGCUUUUCCCUGAAACUUGAGCUGUUUUCCUUUGUUCUCCAGGUGGGUGCCUUAUUGCUGAACUUGAAUUGUCUUCCUUUGAAACUUGAGUUGUUUUCCCCUGUUCUCCAGGUGGGCGCCUGAUUGCAAAAUUUUGAACUGCUUUCCUUUGAAACUGCUUUCCCUUGAAACUUGAACUGUCUCCCCUUGUUCUACAGGUGGGCGCCUGAUUGCUGAACUUGACCUGUCUUUCCCUGAAACUUGACUUGCUUUCCCUUGUUCUCUAGGUGGGCGCCUGAUUGCUGAACUUGACCUGUCUUUCCCUGAAACUUGAAUUGUUUUUCCUUGUUCUCCAGGUGGGCGCCUGAUUGAUGAACUUGACCUGGUUUUCGUUGAAACUCGAAUCAUUUUCCCUUAUUUUACAAGUAGGCGCCUGACUGCUGGACUUGACCCAUCUCCUCUUGUUACUUGAAACUAUUUUCCCUUGAAGCUUGAACCAUUUUCCCUUUUUCUCCAGGUGGGCUCCUGAUUUCAACUUGAAUUGCUCUCCCUUUGUUCUCCAGGUAGGCACCUGAUUACCAACGCUUGAAUUACUUUCCCUUUGUUCUCCAGGUGAGCUCCUGAUUUCCAUCACUUGCACUGUUUUUCCUCGAAACUUGAAUUGCUUCCCUUUGUUCUACAGGUGGGUUCCUGAUUACCAACAGUCGAAUUGUUUUCCCUUUGUUCUCCAGGUGGGUGCCUGAUUUCCAACUCGGACAGACAAAACAAAGAAAAGUUUCUGCCCCAAUUUGGUAGCGGGGCACAUCGGUGAGUGUUAAUUGCACCAUGUUACCAAAUAUCCCUUAGAAUCUGAAAGCUAGAUCCUAUUAUCUAGGAGGGUCCUGAAAACUCCUAGUAAAAUGACAGUUUUAAAGCUAAAUUAUAUUUUCUAAAGGUAUGACUUUCUCUAAAUCUUGUUAUCUAUGAAGGUCUUAAAACUAAAUUCCAUUAUCCAGGAGGGUCCUGAAAAUAUCCAAUUGAGUCUCGUCCUAAGAAUGAAAACUUCAAAACCAACUUAUAUUUCUAAAAGUAGAGCUUAUGCUAGAUCUUGUUAAUCAUGAAUGUUUGAAUUUUAACUAAGUCCCUUUGUCCAGGAGGGUCCUGAAAAUUUAUGAUCAAACCUGUCCAGUACUUGAUUUCCUUAUGGAGGGUUUCUCCGAAACAAACAAAAUUUUCUGCCCCUAUUUCAAAUCAAAGAAACGUCUUGUCAGUUUAAAACAAGGUGGUUAGUUUGUGGCAUUCUUGUUGAAGGUGGCCUCUCCACUGCCGCGCUUUGCUUUGAUUGGUUGCCUUGAACUGGCCUAGAACCGUUUGACUUUCUGACUGACUCUCAAUCGCAGGACCUUGGAUGACCCGAGUGCUUUACACCCAAACCGUUGUUUUACAUUUCUGACCCUUCUACAUGAACCUCUGUAUAUUCCCCGAAAUGUACAAACCACUCGACUUCUUGAACUUUCAUUAACCCCAUACCUUUAUUUUUUACAUCAUGUUAUUUCUGGCACGUUUUGGCCGCACUUUACUUUGUGCAAUUUGGAAGUUGGUAGUAAGAUUUGAAAACCUUCCUUACUUGCUUAAACAAGGCUGACAUUGAAAGAAACCUUAGAGAAAUAAACCCUAAAGAAAUGAAAUGCAAUGACUUUGAGAGUUGGGAAUAAAAGAAAAUCCAAAUCUGGAUGACUGUUUGAGGGAGAGAAGGAAAAGAGACUUAUCUGAGUGGAGCAGCUGGUACCAAUGAUCAUGACAUGUAUUUCGGAUUAAUCAGCCCAAUCUAUUCAAUCAAUCAUCUUUCAGAUGUCAUACCAUGUGCCCUAGGACCUUCAUAACCCAAUUUCUUUGGCCAAUCACUAACCUUAUCCGUCAUGCGGUGCCCUGAAGGGUUUUCACCAACAAACCUCUUUCAUUUUUUCAUCUCUCAAACUCACUGUCACCUUAUGGUGCCUGCGAAGGUUUUCACCUAUAAGACUCUUUUAUUUUUAAUUUCUCUCAGCUUUCUGUCGCCUUACGGUGCCCGUGAGGGUUUUCACCAAUAAGACUCUCUCAUUUUCAUUUGCUUGCUCGGAACGGAAUGUUGUCCCUGAUAUGAAUCACCUCUACCUGCUCGACUUGGCAUCUCUCGAACACUGAUCGGAAGGUCUUUCUUUGGACCGUAAUAUGGGCUUUUGGAUAGGGUUAGAAAGAAAGGAUAUCAAAAGGGUCAAAACAAUUUGAAAGGGUCCAAAAUUACAACUUUUGGAAUCAGAUUUCUUAUAAUAACUACAACUUCUGCCACAGUUUCUUUGCUUGGGGACGUUUGAAUUUUUAUUUUGAUGGGACCGAACCGUGAUGCUUCCUACCUAUCCUUAAAAGGAAUCAGGUCAAACGUAGUUCUUUUCAUAGGAAUUGCUUUGUUAUUGUUACUUCUCUUUUCCUUUCUUUCUCUUCUUUUUUUCUUUUCUUUAUUUUCUUUUCUUUCUUUCUUUCUUUCUUUCUUCUUUCUUUUUUUUCUUUUCUUUUCUCUUUAUUUCUUUCUUUUCAUUCUUUUUCCAUUUUUUCAUUUUCUUUUCUCUCUUCUUUCCUUUUUAACUUCUUUACUUACUUUUUGCGUUCGUAUGUUCUGAAUUUUGCUACUAAUUCCAAAAGAGGGGUAUGAAAGGAAAUAAAUAAGGCUCAAAAGGGGUAACAAAGGAUAAAGUGUUUAGAUAGCAGAACAAAAUGCCUUCAUUAUUCCUAUCUUCAAAACAUGCCAUGUACAAACAAACACAACUUGAACCAAAAAAUCAUACAUAAUAUCUUUUGACUGCAUCAGAAUUGAAAACUAUGUCGACACAUUUGCCUUCUAUAUCUGUUAAAUACAAAGCACCAUUGGACAACACUCUCGUUACGAUGAACGGCCCCUGUCAAUUUGGGGCGAACUUGUCUUUCGCUUCAGCCUGACGUGGAAGGAUGCAUUUCAACACUUACUGACCCACUUCAAAUUUCCGCGGACGCACCUUCUUGUUGUAUGCUCUCACCAUUCUCUUUUGAUACAACUGGCCAUGACACAAUACUGCCAAUCGUUUUUCAUCAAUCAAACUCAAUUGCUCCAAACGGGUUUUGACCCACUCAUCAUCAUCAAUCUCUGCUUUAGCAACAAUCCGAAGGGAUGAGAUUUCAACUUUCGCGGGUAUCACUGCUUCAGUGCCAUAUACCAACAAAUAAGGAGUUGCACCUACUGAAGUGUGAACAGUAGUGCAAUAACCCAACAAUGCAAAGGGAAACUUUUCAUGUCAUUGCUUGGAACCUUGCACCAUUUUCCGAAGUAUCAUCUUUAUGUUUUUGUUGGAUUCGUCGACUGCUCCAUUCACCUUGGGGCGGUAUGGGGUAGAAUUUUGAUGUGUCAUCUUAAACUGUUGACACACUUCUUUCAUCAGAUGACUGUUAAGAUUAGCACCAUUAUCUGUGAUGAUCACCUUUGGAAUCCCGAACCAACAAAUCAUAUUUGCAUGCACAAAGUCGACCACUGCCUUCUUGGUCACAAACUUGAAAGUUUUAGCUUCAACGCACUUAGUAAAAUAGUCAAUGGCCACCAGAAUGAACUUGUGUCCAUUGGAUGCUGCUGGCUCAAUUGGUCCGAUGACAUCCAUACCCCAAGCAACAAAGGGCAAUGGUGCGGACAUUGUGUGCAAUUCAGAUGGCGGAGAAUGAAUCAAAUCUCCGUGUACUUGACAUUGAUGACACUUGCGCACAAAACUGAUACAAUCUCGCUCCUUGGUGAGCCAAUAAUAACCUGCUCGAAGAAUCUUCUUUGCCAGAACAUAUCCGCUCAUAUAUGGCCCGUAGACUCCUGAAUGCACUUCGAUCAUGAUAGUCGUGGCCUGUCUGGUGCAUCUCAACAAUCCGAGUUCUGGAGUUCUUUUAUAAAAAAACUCCCCCAUUGAAGAAGAAUCCACUUGCCUAAUGUCGAAUUGUUCUCUUUUGAUCCCCUAUGGCUUGAACUGGAUAUACCCUCAUCCUGAUAUACUCCCUGAUGUCAUGGAACCAUGGUUCACCAUCAAGUUCCUCCUCAACCAUAUUACAGUAAGCAUGCUGAUCACGAGCUUGAAUAUGCAGAUGAUCAAUAUAAGUUUUGUCUGUAUGGUGCAACAUUGAUGCUAAGGUAGCCAAUGCAUCGGCGACCUCAUUAUGGAUCCUUGGAAUGUGCCUGAAUUCUAUAGAUCAAAAUUGCUGACAAAGAUCAUGCAGACAUUGUCGAUACGGUAUAAGCUUUAAAUCUCGUGUCUCCUAUUCUCCUUGAAUAUGGUGCACCAGAAGGUCUGAGUCCCCCAAGACCAAGACUUCUUGGAUUCUAAUAUCUACGGCUAGCGUUAAAACCAAAAUGCAUGUCUCGUACUCAGCCAUGUUGUUGGUACAAUAGAAACGAAGCUGAGUCGUAACAGGAAGUGAUGCCCUGUUUCAGAAAUGAGCACUGCCCCUAUCCCGACACUUUUCAUGUUGGCAGCCCCAUCAAAGAAAAUCGGGCUUUUUAUCCUUCUCGACCUUGUCGAUAUGCAUUACCUCUUCAUUAGGGAAGUAAGUCCUCAAAGGUUCAUAUUCUUCAUCCACCGGGUUCUCGGCCAAGUGAUCAGCCAAAGCUUGGGCUUUCAUCGCUGUCUGAGUCACAUAUACGAUGUCAAAUUCUAUGAGCAUGAUCUGCCACUUUGCGAGCCUUCCUGUAGGCAUGGUCUUCUGAAAGAUAUACUUCAAGGGAUCUAGGCGAGAGAUGAGGUAAGUAGUGUAGGACGACAAGUAAUGCUUCAACUUCUGUGCUACCCAAGUCAGGGCACAUCACGUUUUCUCAAGGGGAGUAUACUUAACCUCAUAAGAUAUGAAUUUCUUGCUGAGAUAGUAGAUUGCUUGCUCUUUCCUGCCGGUGAUGUCAUGCUGACCCAACACACAAUCAAAUAAAUUAUCCAAGACCGUCAAAUACAGAAUCAAAGGUCUCUCGGGUUCUGGCGGGACCAAAACAGGGGGUUCGACAAAUACUUCUUGAUCUUAUCAAAUGCUUCCUGGAAAUCAUCAGUCCAUUUGACCGCAGCAUAUUUCUUUAGCAACUUGAAGAUGGGCUCACAGGUUGUCAUGAGCUAAGCAAUAAACCUGCUGAUGUAGUUUAGCCUCCCUAAUAGACUCAUCACCUCGGUCUUGUUCCUUGGUGGUGGUAAUUCCUGGAUAGCCUUGAUCUUUGACGGAUCCAAUUUAAUACCCCACCGACUAACUAUGAAUCCCAACAGCUUCCUUGAUGGAACACCAAAUGCGUACUUUGCAGGAUUGUGCUUUAGAUUGUACCUGCGGAGCCUUUGGAAAAACUUUCUCAAAUCUUUGACGUGGUCAGGCUGCUUCCUGGACUUUAUGAUCACAUUAUCCACGUAAACCUCAAUCCCCUUGUGUAUCAUGUCAUGGAAUAUGCUAAUCAUCGCCCACAUUUAAGUUGCCCCAGCAUUUUUCAAACCAAAAGGCAUGACCCGGUAGUAGUAUGUUCCCCAUGGCAUGAUGAAUGCCAUUUUCUCUGCACCGUCCUCAUCCAUUAAAAUCUGAUGAUAUCCUGCAUAGCAGUCCAAAAAAGACUCAAUCUCAUGCUUGACACAGUUAUCAAUCAAAAUGUGGAUGUUUUGUAGUGGGAAAUUGUCCUUUAACCAUGCCUUAUUGAGGUCACAGUAAUUAGCACACACUCUGGUCUUACCAUCUUUCUUUGGCACAAGCACAACAUUGGCUAACCAUGUGGGAUACCGUGUGACUCGAAUGACCUUUGCAUCAAGCUGCUUUGUGACAUCUUCUUUAGUCUUCAAACUCAUGUCAGUUUUGAACUUUCUCAGCUUCUGCUUGAUGGGGAUGGGGGAAAUGUUGGAUCAAUUGGCAAUUUAUGGACCACCAAAUCGGUACUCAAGUCGAGCAUAUCAUCAUACGACCAUGCAAAAAUAUCCUUAUGCUCAAACAAUGCUUUAAUUAUCUCUUCCCUGAUUUGCUGUUCAAGAUGGACGCUUAUCUUAGUUUCUCUGACAUUAUCCGGGUCCCCUAAAUUGAUUGCUUCUGUAUCAUUCAGGUUAGGCUUGGGUUUUUCUUCAAAAUGACUUAGUUUCUUAUUAAUUUUUUCAAAGGCCUCAUCCUCAUCAUAUUCUGAUUCAUCAUCAUACUCUAUUUCUUAGAUUAUUAUUUCAAAAUUAGAUUGACUUUUAAGACUGGGCCGAAGAUUCCUCAUGCAUGUCAUGUCAUUGAAACCAGCAUAAAAAGAACUGUACAAAGAAGAAAAGAAAAACAAAAAAUUAAACUAUCAGGUAUGAUGGAAAAAGGAAAUUGCUUUUCAUUAAAAUAAAGGAUAACAGGGUUUGUGCAUCAACAAGCAAAAAAUAAAAGUCUGGGUCACAACCCUGGAAUGACCCAGAUAUAAAGGAAAACAAAACAAACUACCAAGACUCCUUCCGGGUAAGGAGAGAAGUAGCCUUCCAAUUGUUAAGAUUUGCAUUUGGUCCUACGAACUGCACGUCCUCUCUGCUAGAACCUUCUCCAACUUCAACCAUGUUCACAUCAUCAAACAACCUCUGGAACCUUUCAAUUAACUCCUCAUCAAUAUCAACCACAGAACUUGAAAUUGUCGUCACUGGGCAUUUCCUGGCAUCGAGCUUGACAAAAGACCUGGAGAGACGCGGAACAGGCUUUGGAAGUGCCCACGCCUUCUAGUUCAACCUUUUAGCCCUUUUCACAUCUGCCGCUAUAGAUUUGAACUCAAGACCGAACAUACCAAAUUUUCAGGGAGGGACACUGGCUAUAUGAUACACUGCAGAGAUGCACCCAGACCUUUACCGGGCACAAAGCCAUUUUUAGCAUUUCAAAGGCCACCAUAACUGAUGCGGAGGUUAUCUUUGGAGUUGGAACACAUUUCCCCUCUGAAACCUUCUCGACUGGCACUGUUUCAAAAAGUUGAUAGACCCAAGUCCCUUUGUCAUCUUCAACCUCAAUGAACGAUACGAAGGCAUCACUUUAAGCACACAAAUUAUCCUUGCUGUGCACGAUAAUCUCUUGUCUAUCCCAUUCAAACUUGACCAUCUGGUGCAAAGUGGACGGGACUGCUUUGGCAUGAUGAAUCCAAGGUCGACCCAAUAGAAAAUUGUACGAGAUGGCUACGUCCAACACCUGGAACUCCAUGGUGAAUUCCACUGGUCCUAUUGUUAAUUCAAGCACUAUAUCACCAACUGAAUCUUUCCCUCCACCAUCAAAUCCCCGAACACAUAUGCUAUUUUUGUGAAUCCUCUCAUCAUCCCCUUUCAACUUGUUUAGAGUAGAGAGAGGGCAGAUGGUUGCACUAGAACCGUUAACAACUAACACCCUGAUGACCACAAAAUCUUCUCAUUUUACCCUAAGAUAGAGAGCUUUGUUUUGUUCGGUACCCUCCACAGGCAACUCAUCAUCAGAAAAGGUGACUCUAUUCACCUCAAAUAUUUUUUUGGCGAUCUUCUCUAGAUGGUUCACUGAAAUUUUGUCGGGAACAUGAUCCUCGUUCAGAAUUUUCAUCAGGGCCCGACGAUGCUCGUCUAAGUGGAUCAACAACGACAAUAAAGAUAUCUGAGCAGGCGUCUUUCUCAACUGCUCCAUGAUGGAAUAAUCUUGUACCUUCAUUUUUCUCAGAAACUCCUCCGUCUCUUCUUCAAACACUGCUUUCUUUACUAGGACUGGAUUAUCUCUCGAUGUUUUAACUUUCCUCAACUCUUCUUGGGCAAAGCAUCUCCCCGAACGAGUUAAUCCCUAGUUCUCAUUGACUUCUUCUUUCACUUCCUUUCUCUUAUAGGUCACUAUUACCCGUUCAUAGUUCCAUUGGAUGGCCUUGGUGCUGAUUACUAGCAAUUGGGUUAUAGGCUAAAUGAUGACAGGAUCCAUACGGGCACCCUCUACAAUUAUGAUAGGCUUGUUUACCACUCCUAGCACAACCACUUUUCACUUUUCUUACUUUGUCGUGACAUCACUUGGGGAUCCUUUCUUGACUACUACAGAUGGUUCACCAUUGUCCUGCUCAACUUGUUCACUGAUCCUUCAAUUGUUGGUUUUUUAACUGGCUUGACCUCACUGGCCCGAAUCAUCAUGACAGUAUGUGAAGGCUUCUUGGGUUCCCCUCCCUUAUGUACUAUCUCAAUCAUGUUCGUUUCCUGAUAGGUUGGUAAUGGGUUAUGGUUGAUGUUGGGUGCCUCUAGAGUUUGGACUUCAAUUCGGUUUGUGUCAAUGAGCUCCUAGAUGGCAUUUUUCAAGUGCCAGCACUUCUCCGUAUCAUGUCUCGGAGUACCAAAACAAUAUUCACAGCUCACAAAGUAAUCAAGAAUCUUUAGAGGAGGGUUUGGAAAUUUCGACUCAAUUGGCCUCAACAUAUCCAACUGCCUCAAUCUGUGGAACAAACUGGUAUAAGACUCUCCCAGUGGGGUGAAAGUUUUCUUCCACUGCAACCUCUCAUUUUUGAAUGCUGGAUUGGGUUGGAAACCUGGACCGACAGGGUUUUGAUAGGCUCGUAGGGGUGGGUAACCAUUUUGUGGAGCUGGGUAGGUGUUUUGUGGGGCUGGGGCACGCCAUUGUGUGUAGGCAGGAGGUUGAGUAUAUGUUUGGGCAUGGUGGAAAGAAUUAUGAGGGUCUGUUGAUGGGAAGUAGUGUUGGGGUAGAUUAUAUGAGGUUUGAGUGUAGGUUCGGUGAUGGGUCGAGGCUGGGUAUAUUGGUAUGACGAGCCCCUGGGUCCGAACCAUGAUCCUGAAUCAAUUGUUGCCACAUCUUCUUUCUUCUUCUUUCCAAUCACUCCCCUAAUACCAUUCUGAAUGGCUUGGGUAGUUGCCUUGAUAGCUGAGUAACUCAUGAUUUUGCUUGAUUUAAGCCCUUCUUCCACCAUGCCACCCAUCUUUACUACCUCGUUGAACGAUAUGCCUAUGGCCUAUAUUAGAUGGUGAAAGUAAGUAGGCUCCAGAGACUGUAGAAAGUACUCCACCAUUUCGCUCUCAUCCAUCGGGGUGUUAACUCUUGCCGCUUGUUCUCUCCAGCAAAAACCAUAUUCUCUGAAACUUUCACUAGGCUUCUUCUCAAUUUUAGUCAAAGACAAAUGUUCUGGAACAAUCUCGAUAUUGUACUGGAAAUGACAAGUGAAUGCUUUGUCAAAAUCAUCGCAGGUAUACCAUCUGUUGUGAUCCUGACGAGUGUGCCACUCCAAUGCCGAACCACUCAAACUCUAGCUAAAGUAUGCUAUCAAUAACUCAUAUUUCCCACCGGCUUCUCUCAUUUUACUGUAGAAUCCCCUCAAGUGGGCCACCGGGUCUUCGUGCCCGUCAUACAAAUCAAACUUCGGCAUCUUAAAUCCCACAGGAAACUGAACAUCGGGAAAUAGACACAAAUCCUUGUAGGCUACGCUUACCUGGUCUACCAAUCCCUGCAUGUUUCUGAAUGACUGCUCUAGGCUUCUAACCUUCCUGAACAUCUCCUCAUGCUCUAGGUCUUUAGGUGGUUUCUCAGUCUCAACAGGGAGGUCGAAAUAUGGAGUAUAGGAGAAAGGCUCUGAGGCUUUGAAAGUAGGCUCCGGGGGGUAGUAUUGGAUAUCCCGAGUCUGGAAUAAGGUCUCACUGGAGGAUUGAUGGAGUGUAGCGGGUGGGGGUGCCACAAAGNUAGGGGUGGCUAGUGGAGGAGGGUACGGGACUAGGUUUAGGUGGNNNNNNNNNNNNNNNNNNNNNNNNNUGGAGAUGAAUCAACAGUGGGAGGUUCUUGGGAUUAAGCCAACGACGGGACGAAAGUCGGGUUGGCGGGGCAUGAUGGUGGUGGAUGCCCCUUCACCCAUGCCUGGUACAUCUCUACCAUUUGGUGUUUUAACUUGUAUAACUCCUCUUUCAGAUUAACAUCAAACUCUUCCCCCUCUCUUGACGGAUCAAUAACACUUGCAUCCAAUUAUUGGUUGGCCAUGAUCAACUUGUCUUUGGACAUAUGGUGUUGUACGGGUAAGUUUCCAGAAUGCCAAACAAACUAACCACCUGCUUAUACUUGACGCCAUAUGAAUCAAACCAAGUGUAGUUUUGGGAAUAUGUGUGAAAUAAAUAACAAAAUAAAAAAACAUUUUUUGGGGUUUUUAAAAAUAAAAUAAAAUAUCUUGAUUAUGAAAACUUCCCCCGCAGAUUUAAACAUAAAGACUAACAGACUCGAUGAGUGGACUGGCAACUUCAAAAGAAAACUGAAAAUACAGACUUGAAAUGAACUAACAAACUACCAAUACAGACUCGAAAAUAAAAUAAAAUACAUACUCGAAUAAACAAAGUCAAGAAUACAUAAGUGCUUCAACUGUUGCUCCAGUUGGCCUUGCUUCGGGCCUCCGUGCAAUGUCUUCUUGGAGGCGAAACAAGUCAUCCAUAAUCAGCCGGGCAAAAAUCAUAACUGAAGUGAAGAACAUGUACCUAGUCAUGUCUUCACACUCGUUGCAUUUCAUCACAAUGUAGUCCGCAAUUCUCCUAACCCUUUCCCUAAUAAUACACUUCUUUUAUAGCAACCAUCCGAUCUACUGAGAUCUGGCACCCAAAACUUGUUCGGAUGCAUGGUUUUGCUCUUGAAGCUACUGAAAGUCUUUCUCUAGUUGUGCCAUCAGGGCAUAACAGUGCUCCCUUUCUACUUUGAAGUCUCUCGCCUACUUGGCCAUUUCAUUUUCAAGGGCAUUGACCUUUUUCUUUAUAUUCACCAUUCCCUUGUCAUACUUAUCCUUCAGUUGCCGAACGAAACUGGUCUGCCCCUCUACAUUCUUAUCUAGCUUGGCUCGGGCAUUUGCCAGCUCCGCCUCAGUCUUUUGCAAAUCAUCCUCAAAAUCACAUACCUUUUGGGUAAGACUGUAGAUGAGCUUUUCGUCUUUUCUACUCCUGCCCGGGUUCUCAAUUGCUAUUCUCAUUUUUCGAACUUGGGCUCGGAGAGCUUCAUUCUCUUGGGCCAACUUUCUUCUUUUACCUUCGGCUUCUUGUUCUUGGAGAUCAUUGUUGAAUUCCUUGUUUCUCAGCUUCUCUUUCAGGGCGUGAAUCUCGGCUUGAUAUUCCUUCUCCUUUUCCCCCUAUGCCAGCCUUUCUUGGAUUUUGUCGUCAAAAGCUUGAACAUGAGGUCUCUUGGUAGGCCUCUCGGGUUCGGGCUUAGGCUCGUUGUUUACACAAGCCCUUUUCUCAAACCAAGCAGCAUAAUUUCGAUCUACUUCCCUUUUGCAACACCUGGUACCUGAGUGCCAUUUUUCAGAUACCGACAGUCAUUCCAAUCCUGCUGAACUAAAGCCUUGCGCAAUGUAGCUUUUGGAUGCAUCUCUAUGACCUGGGUGGUUAGAUCUUCAUCUUCAGGAACGAUCUGAUAUCUUCUUAAUUGCCUCAAAACCCUCUGCGGUGCAUAUGGUUGGAUACUCCUCACACUCAUUAACCUCGGGUAACCUUUGGUGGCAGUCAUGAAUAUGGCUUCUAUCAUUGGGAGCCAUCCUAUAGUCCACUUAUCCUAACUUGCUUUGAGAGCUUUCAAGUGGGAGACCCAUGCUUCAAACCCUUCUGGCAUGUUGUAGUCCUUUACCCUUUCCUCGUAAUUGGUAAUGAAGUUAUUUGGGCUCGAACCAUAACUCAUGAAUCUGGGAUGAUGGCGAAGAUGCUUUAUCAGCCAUAUUUGUAGAAGGAUAUUGCAACCUUCAAAGAAUUGAGCCUUAGCUCUGCAUAAUGUCAAUGCUCGACAAAUAUCAGCCAGCACUAACGGGACAAUUUUAUGAUCUUCCUUGGUAGUGAGGAUUUGUGCAAUUCUGACCAUAAGAGUAUCCAAUGUCCCUUCCUCAUUUGGAAAAACCAUGAUCCCCAUAAAUUCCACGAUAAAAGUGAAUUGGCGAUGAAUUUGCCAAAGGCCUUUAUUUUGUUUGUUACUCAAACCCUUUUCAUGUGUUUCGAACCCGGCCGAGUGCCUGAACCCGAAGUACAAGAAGUGGAAAGAACAACACCCUUUGCUUACAUGGGCCUUCUUCAUCUGUUUACUGAUAUUCAGGAGGUCAAAGAACUUAUGCACCGAAGGACCCCUUGGAAAUAUAAGUUGUUGCUUCCUUAAGUCCCAGCCAAACUCAAUGUACCCGGCCAUUUCCUCUUAAGUAGGGGUGAUCUCAAAGUCCGAGAAACAAAAAACAUUGUGGACAGGGUCCCAAAAGGUUAUCAAAGCCUUGAUUAAAUCUUCCCGCGGUUUGAUUUCCAAAAUAUAUACAAGGACACCCAACUAUUUUUUCACCCAUUUCUAAUCAUCCUCAUGUAGAUCAUUCCACCACAUACGCAAGUGUAACUGAGCUUGUUUCCUGACCAUUUUUGACGAGUCUUGGGUGGUGUUCAUUCGUGACGGGUCCUAGACAGUGUUCAUUUGUACCUGUGGAGGGUCAAGGUUAGGGUUGACUCUGGUAGAUCUUUUUUGUAAAACAGGUUUUCCAAUUUCUACAAGAAAAAUCAAUGGGCCAUGAUUCCUUCCCCUAUAUGCUAAAUUUAGCAAAAAUGACCGUUUUGCAAACGUGGUCCCUUCCCAAUUCCAAAUGAAUUUUGAGGUUGGGGAGGACUAUUUUAUGACACUUGACAAACUUGUCCGUUCUUUUACAAAAAUAGCCCUUCGACAACUGAAAAUACUCUAAGGCUAUCUCAGCAAGAACGGUUUUUAAGACAUUACCGAAGUUGGGUCGGCUUAUUUUGACCAAAACUCCAAAGUACAUUUACUUGACCGCUAACUCUCUUUUUUCUUCUUUUUUCAAAAAUAAACCCGAAUCUUAUGUAGGUUGUCUAUGUAUCCCACAUCCGGUGAGAACCAGACCUGCGUAGUUCGGUCAAUUUUGACACAUUUGAAAAGGACAGUAUUGACUCAUUUUGAAAUGACUCUCUUUCUUUUCCCCCUUCUUUUUUUUGAAAAAUUUUGUCAUAGUUUCGGGACAUUUCCAAAUACCAAAGAUUUUUCAUAACCGGGUUUUAUUUCCUUCCCCACAUCACUCUUGGUUUUUCUUUUGCUUUAUUUUCCUAGUGGGUCAGCAUCCAAGCCGAAUCAAAUAAAUGUUCACAUAACACAUAAGAUGCAUUAGGAUGGUCUGUUAUUUUGGGGCACACCUGUCCUAGACGGACCCAACCCCUAUGUUGAGUCCCUUAAGUCAAAUGCACGUGAUGCAAACAAGCGUUCCUACUAGGAAUCCGACAUUAGGCUGUGUUUUUCUAGGUUUAAAUCCUGGGGUUGUGCUCUAGACUUGGGGUUACCUGAGCUGAAAACUGGGGCCGAAGAGGGGGCGACGUACAAGGAGCACUAAAGUCUACCCGGCCUUGUCACUGGUCCAGCCUCGUUCUAUUUGGUAUAAUUUCUAUGGGAAAAACGGGACAUGCAAACAUGUGCCCCAUUUUCAGAAGACUUAGAGGGGUGGCGUAAGAAGACAGUUAUAUACAAUUCAAAAAAUAUUAAAGCGGUAAACAGAUAGCAUUUAGCACAAAAGGUUCACAGAAUACAGUAAUAUCAACAAUAAAUAAAGCCAAGCAAAAUCAUAUUAUCAAGCUCAACUUCUAAACUCUGAACCAGAGAUUUUAAGUUCUUAUCCUCAGUAGAGUCGCCAGAGCUGUCACAGCUCCAUUUUAAUACCCCGAAAGGAGUAUAAGCGAGUUUUUCAAAUUAAAGUGAUGAUCGAAACAGGAUUAUUUUAUUUAAAAUUCAGAGUUGCCACUUGGGAUAAUUUAUGGUGUCCCAAGUCACCGGUUUAAAAUCUUGAAUCGACGAAGUUUGACUCUGUUUACGGUCCGCGAACACAGAAAUCCAGGUAAGGUAUUCUGUUAACCCGGGAGAAGGUGUUAGGCAUUCUCGGGUUCCGUGAUUUUAGCACGGUCGCUUUGAUCAUACUUGGCUAGUUAAAUUGUCUAAUUACUUAUUUUAUAACCUAUGUGCAUUUGCCUAUUUUAAUUAAGAAAUUAUCUUGUAACAGGUCACGCGUAUGUGUACCCAUUUAUUUGGCGCGUCAAAAAUCGUGUCACGCGAACGUGUCCACAAUUAGUAACACUUUAUAUUUAUUUUUUAAGAAAGUUUGACCGAAGUUGCGCGAACGCAUACUCCGAUUUUAUUGUUAGAAUUGUAAUCAUGUCACGCGAACGUGUACACCACCACGAUAAUGGAUUAAAAUGUAUGGCUCAAGUUUUAUACCACAGGGUCCUUGCAUAUGUCUAUGUCGCAUUUAAACUUCAAAUAAUCAGGUUCUUACCAUCCCAUGGCCCAAAAUAUUAGCUAAUAGUCCGUUUUAUAAUCUAGCACAUUAUUAAUUAAACCCAGGUCCAAACUAACUCUUCAAAUCAGUCCAUCCUAAAAGACCGAAUCUUUGAGAUAAUCACAGCUCCAUUCUUAAUCAUCUUCAUUUUUUACAACUAAUACUUCAUGAAACUUUAGAGCUUUUCUCCAAAUUAUAUUAAACUAAUAAUGAAUAAUGAAAAAUUCAAUCAUUAACUAAUCAUGGAACUAACUUUCCUAUAAAACUAAACCAUUAAAUAUAACUAAAUUAUUUUAAGAAAACUACCCAAGAGCAGAAAAAAUAUUGUUGCUUAUGGAUUAAAAGGGAGCAAACAUGUUCUUGCUAAACUUUGAACAAACAAAAGAUGACAAACUAAUGGACAAAAAUAAAGAAAACCUGCUCGAACGGAAAAGAAGCAGUAGCGCUGGAACCUUGCCAGCAACUCGAACGAAACCGACCUCACUCAAACUCCAUCUUGGAAAAGCGAAAAUCUGAAACAAGGAAGAUGAAACAGAACUUUUUAUGUGCUCUGUUUAUAGUUGUCUUGUGAGUUAAUUUUGGAUGUUAGAAUAGUGACAAACUGAUUUUUGACGGAGCUUAGGACGGAAAGAUGAUGAGAGAUUUUGCUUUCUCUGUUUUCAACAUCUCUUUCCCCGGUGCCUUCUAUUUCAUCUUCUCACUCCAUGUGUGUGCGCGUGUGUGUAUUGAUGCUGGUUUGAUAUAGUAGAGGCAAAGAUGGGGUCGUUUUGUGUGAGGUAAGAGGUUUUCCUAAAGGUCCAUGGCUGUUGUAGCUGUGAUUGAUGAAGAAGAAGAAGCAGUGGCGAUGGGUGGUCGUUGCGGUGGUGUUGCGUGUGGAACUGGUGAACUUUGGUUGUUGCUGAAGGUUUAGGGAUGAAGAAACUGGGGUUCAAGCCAUGGGGAUGUGAAGGAGAGGAGGAGGGUCGUAUGGGGUGGGGUUCGAAAUUGUUCUCUGCUGCUUCUUUAGAUUCUCAUUUUGUAUAUGUUCGUCCAAAUCUAGAAGAAGAAAGGCGGAUAGCUAUAGGGGUCUAGGUAUUUUUUAGGCUAAUUUUGGUUAUACAGAGAGGGUUUUUAGGUUAAAGGGUAUGAGUUUGGUAUUAUUAGGUCUUAAAAUUGGGCCAAAGACUAAAA
RNAcentral lists this long non-coding RNA (18168 nucleotides) under Nicotiana tabacum (common tobacco). RNAcentral's name for it is "long non-coding RNA (NTAB_LNC012451)". The record is from RNAcentral. Lineage: Eukaryota; Viridiplantae; Streptophyta; Magnoliopsida; Solanales; Solanaceae.